This 496-nucleotide ribosomal RNA is filed under the name uncultured bacterium. Its description in RNAcentral is "partial 16S ribosomal RNA". It matches the Rfam family "Bacterial small subunit ribosomal RNA", at positions 28 to 506 of the family's 1533-position model. The record is from RNAcentral.
GAUGAACGCUGGCGGCGUGCCUAAUACAUGCAAGUCGAGCGAACAGACGAGGAGCUUGCUCCUCUGACGUUAGCGGCGGACGGGUGAGUAACACGUGGAUAACCUACCUAUAAGACUGGGAUAACUUCGGGAAACCGGAGCUAAUACCGGAUAAUAUAUUGAACCGCAUGGUUCAAUAGUGAAAGACGGUUUUGCUGUCACUUAUAGAUGGAUCCGCGCCGCAUUAGCUAGUUGGUAAGGUAACGGCUUACCAAGGCAACGAUGCGUAGCCGACCUGAGAGGGUGAUCGGCCACACUGGAACUGAGACACGGUCCAGCCUCCUACGGGAGGCAGCAGUAGGGAAUCUUCCGCAAUGGGCGAAAGCCUGACGGAGCAACGCCGCGUGAGUGAUGAAGGUCUUCGGAUCGUAAAACUCUGUUAUUAGGGAAGAACAAAUGUGUAAGUAACUAUGCACGUCUUGACGGUACCUAAUCAGAAAGCCACGGCUAACUACGU